Molecule: ribosomal RNA, 552 nt
Filed under: uncultured bacterium
Lineage: Bacteria
Description: bacterial SSU rRNA
Rfam family: Bacterial small subunit ribosomal RNA
Source: RNAcentral
GUUCGUAGGCGGUGCGGCAAGUUGGGAGUGAAAUCUCUGGGCUUAACCCAGAGGCUGCUUCCAAAACUGCUGUGCUUGAGUGUGGGAGAGGCGCGUGGAAUUGCAGGUGUAGCGGUGAAAUGCGUAGAUAUCUGCAGGAACACCCGUGGCGAAAGCGGCGCGCUGGACCACUACUGACGCUGAGGAACGAAAGCUAGGGGAGCAAACAGGAUUAGAUACCCUGGUAGUCCUAGCCCUAAACGAUCAGGACUUGGGGUGCCACCCGUUCGGGUGUCGUCCCGGAGCUAACGCGUUAAGUCCUGCACCUGGGGAGUACGGUCGCAAGACUGAAACUCAAAGGAAUUGACGGGGGCCCGCACAAGCGGUGGAACAUGUGGUUCAAUUCGACGCUACGCGAGGAACCUUACCUGGGCUCGAAAUGCUGGUGACCAGCUGUAGAAAUACGGCCUUCCCGCAAGGGACACCAGUAUAGGCGCUGCAUGGCUGUCGUCAGCUCGUGCCGUGAGGUGUUGGGGUUAAGUCCCGCAACGAGCGCAACCCCUGCACGUAGUU